This is a non-coding RNA of Acanthosepion pharaonis, 107 nucleotides long. The record is from the annotation of a GenBank genome assembly. NCBI's taxonomy places the organism in Eukaryota, Metazoa, Mollusca, Cephalopoda, Sepiida, Sepiidae.
CAUAUCACGUUGAAACAUUGAUUCCCGUAAGAUCAUCGAAGUUAAGCAAUGUCGAGCCUGGUUAGUAUUUAGAUAGGUUAUCGCUUGGGAAUACCAGGUGCCGUAAU